This 478-nucleotide ribosomal RNA is filed under the name uncultured bacterium. Its description in RNAcentral is "partial 16S ribosomal RNA". It matches the Rfam family "Bacterial small subunit ribosomal RNA", at positions 28 to 507 of the family's 1533-position model. The record is from RNAcentral.
GACGAACGCUGGCGGCGUGCUUAACACAUGCAAGUCGAACGUGAUUUUUGUGGAAAUUCUUUCGGGAAUGGAAAUGAAAUGAAAGUGGCGAACGGGUGAGUAGCACGUGAGCAACCUACCUUACACAGGGGGAUAGCCGUUGGAAACGACGAUUAAUACCGCAUGAGACCACAGAAUCGCAUGAUAUAGGGGUCAAAGAUUUAUCGGUGUAAGAAGGGCUCGCGUCUGAUUAGCUAGUUGGAAGGGUAAAGGCCUACCAAGGCGACGAUCAGUAGCCGGUCUGAGAGGAUGAACGGCCACAUUGGAACUGAGACACGGUCCAAACUCCUACGGGAGGCAGCAGUGGGGAAUAUUGCACAAUGGGGGGAACCCUGAUGCAGCGACGCCGCGUGAGCGAAGAAGGUUUUCGAAUCGUAAAGCUCUGUCCUAUGAGAAGAUAAUGACGGUAUCAUAGGAGGAAGCCCCGGCUAAAUACGUG